GCGCCGGUGGCGGAACUGGCAGACGCACCGGAUUUAGGGUCCGGCGGCCUCACGGUCAUGUGGGUUCGACUCCCACCCGGCGCACCA
This 87-nucleotide transfer RNA is filed under the name bacterium. Its description in RNAcentral is "tRNA-Leu". It matches the Rfam family "tRNA". From Rfam's summary of the family: Transfer RNA (tRNA) molecules are approximately 80 nucleotides in length. Their secondary structure includes four short double-helical elements and three loops (D, anti-codon, and T loops). The record is from RNAcentral. RNAcentral also lists the same sequence under 3 other names.